Molecule: transfer RNA, 46 nt
Filed under: Dendropsophus parviceps (Sarayacu treefrog)
Lineage: Eukaryota; Metazoa; Chordata; Amphibia; Anura; Hylidae
Description: partial tRNA-Gln
Source: RNAcentral
GUAGGAAUCGAACCUACUCCUAAGAGAUCAAAACUCUCCGUAAUCC